UACGGGGGGAGCAAGCGUUGUUCGGAUUUACUGGGCGUAAAGGGCGCGUAGGCGGCCGUACAAGUCACUUGUGAAAUCUCCGGGCUUAACUCGGAAAGGUCAAGUGAUACUGUUUGGCUAGAGUGCGGAAGGGGCAACUGGAAUUCUCGGUGUAGCGGUGAAAUGCGUAGAUAUCGAGAGGAACACCUGCGGCGAAGGCGGGUUGCUGGGCCGACACUGACGCUGAGGCGCGAAAGCUAGGGGAGCGAACGGG
This 253-nucleotide ribosomal RNA is filed under the name uncultured bacterium. RNAcentral's name for it is "partial 16S ribosomal RNA". It matches the Rfam family "Bacterial small subunit ribosomal RNA", at positions 524 to 776 of the family's 1533-position model. The record is from RNAcentral.